UCUCCACUAAAUAACCAUUAUCCAUAUUUUUCUUCCUCUUUCGUCUCUCUUCUCUCUAAAACCCAUUCAAAGCCGAAAUCAUCAGAAGAAAAGUCAAUUUCUUUCUGAACUACCCAGAUCCAUCUGCUAUCAUAUAAAAACCAACAAAUCUUCAUGAAACAAAGCAUACCGCCACGAAAAAGGGAAGAAAAACCAUUGACUUCUUCUUGAUCUCUCCAGAUCCAAUUAUUUCAUAUUUUGUUUGCUGUUAGAGUUUUAAAUAUCUAUUGAUUUUUCUUGUCGGAGUUUCUAAUUUGAAGACCAGGUAUUAUCCUUUGUUGAAUUUCUCAACAGUCGAAGGGAUAUUUGGUUUUAGGUUUCACCUUUACCAACAGUUGAAGAAUCGACCGAUUUACCAGAAAGAAGGUAAAAUUGAUAGCUCGUUUUAUGAUUAUUUCCAUCCCUUUACUUCCAAUUAUGAUUAAAUGGUUAGAUUUUGGCUUAACUUUGGGGGUUUUUCAUAAAAUUGAAAGUUCAUAAUUUAUUGAUUAAUUUUUAUUUAGGUUUUUUUUAUAGAACUCUAUCAAUUUUGUUGAACAAUUAUCCACUAGCUCACUAUGGGUUCAUAUAGCAUGCAACUGUAUUGAUUCUGUCGAAGAGAUAUGAGGUUCGGUUUUUAACUUUUCUUCUCCUUUAUGUUAGAGAUUUUCUUGAAUUGAUAGUGGUUGUUGUUUUAAAGUUUGGUUGUAUGUGUGGUCAAACUUGGUGGGUUUGUGUUAUGCUUUCAACUUUUAACUA
This is a long non-coding RNA of Papaver somniferum (opium poppy), 777 nucleotides long. RefSeq lists it as uncharacterized. The record is from RefSeq and is a predicted model, not a curated record. Lineage: Eukaryota; Viridiplantae; Streptophyta; Magnoliopsida; Ranunculales; Papaveraceae. The transcript has 2 exons.